Molecule: long non-coding RNA, 520 nt
Filed under: Salvia miltiorrhiza (redroot sage)
Lineage: Eukaryota; Viridiplantae; Streptophyta; Magnoliopsida; Lamiales; Lamiaceae
Description: long non-coding RNA (SMIL_LNC001901)
Source: RNAcentral
GGGAAAAAAAUUGAAUAAAGAGCUUGAGCUCAAUUUUAAUAUAAAUAUUAAAAUUGAGUAGCAUAUGUAUCUUUAUUGAAUAAUGAAAAAUCAAAGCUCCGUAGUUCUCUUACCUUAAUUUACCUAAUCAUCAAAUCCAUCAGCGUCAAAUCUCUCGGAAUCGGUGACUUCAUCAUUUGGGCUCUUGUUGACUUGAUCUCAUUGAUUCUCUUGAGCUCUUAUGUCGUCUUUGUAUCAAUUAUCAAACAACAUGGUAGCCUCUAUGUUUUCGAGUAUCCAUGUUGCUUCUUCCUUCAUCUAAUAUAAGCCUACCAAUGCUAAAUAAUUGCUUGACCUAGAUCGUGGAGGCCGGAACGAAAAAUAGCCCAUUCGCCAUAAUGGAGAGAAUGAGAAAGUCUUUCUUGUGAAUCAACCAUCAAUGCUAGAUGCCGAUUUGACCACUUGUGCCUUUAAAAAUUAAAAAUACUAGAUAAAGUGCAAUACACUAUAUGAAUAUAUAGUGUAUUAAAAUCAUUAGUAU